Molecule: long non-coding RNA, 823 nt
Filed under: Triticum aestivum (bread wheat)
Lineage: Eukaryota; Viridiplantae; Streptophyta; Magnoliopsida; Poales; Poaceae
Description: long non-coding RNA (TAES_LNC025575)
Source: RNAcentral
AGGAAGAAGAAGCACAGAGGAAAGCUUGGAAUUAGAGAUAACAAUAUUCAGUUUACAGAUCGAUGUCUCCCUCUCCUCGAGCUAGGCUAUAUGUAGUUAUCAUUACAGGCCACAGUGGGCCGGCCCAUCGGGCCACUCACACACACACACACACGGGUGGGCACAGCCCAGGUCCUUGCAAUAGCUGCCAGGCUUGGUCGAUAUCCUGGAAGGGAAGCACCCUCUGUAUCCAGUUUCAGCAAUCCACACAUCUUCUCCUGGAAUUAAGAAACACAAUCAGAUGAAAAUGCCCUGUUUUUAUAAUCCAUGUCACACACAUCUUCUCACCAGUUAAGUAACUUCAAUGGCCCCCUCACAUACAUCACAUUAAUCUUUGCUUCCACAAUUCCACAAGCAACAGAGAAGAGAGACACAAAUGAUCUUCAGACUCAAACUACUCGCCACCAUCUCCUUUGUGUUACUUCAGACUGUAAGCACACGCCUGACUACCUAAGAUCUCAUUUCCUCCAUUUUCAACAUCUACAUUCUCACAUCAGAAACAAAUGUGCACCAUCACUACAUAGCUUGGUUAACUAAACUAAGCUGAUCUUCGACAGGGUAAAACGAAAAUGAAUAAUCUGAAAGCUAUCACAGUUUACCCCGACGAAGUAUGCAGGGCACCAAAUGCCCUAAACUCGCUGCCCUCGGCCAGGCCUUGCGUGACGGCGCGAAUGGGAGGGCUGGCCCCGCGAGACGGAUAGAUCCGACAUCGCCGCCGCCCCUGUGAGUGGGACGAGGGGGAUGGGAGGAGAGCAGAGUGUUCAAAUCCUCUAUACUCUUGCCG